Molecule: non-coding RNA, 148 nt
Filed under: Homo sapiens (human)
Lineage: Eukaryota; Metazoa; Chordata; Mammalia; Primates; Hominidae
Source: Rfam by way of RNAcentral
GCUGGGUGUGGUGGUGUGCACCUGUAAUCCCAGCUACUUGGGAGGCUGAGGCAGGAGAAUUGUUUGAACCUGGGAGGCAGAGGUUGCAGUGAGCCGAGAUCGUGCCACUGCACUCUAGCCUGGGUGACAGAGUGAGACUCUGUCUCAA